GAUGAACGCUGGCGGCGUGCCUAAUACAUGCAAGUCGAGCGAACGGACGAGAAGCUUGCUUCUCUGAUGUUAGCGGCGGACGGGUGAGUAACACGUGGAUAACCUACCUAUAAGACUGGGAUAACUUCGGGAAACCGGAGCUAAUACCAGAUAAUAUUUUGAACCGCAUGGUUCAAAAGUGAAAGACGGUCUUGCUGUCACUUAUAGAUGGAUCCGCGCUGCAUUAGCUAGUUGGUAAGGUAACGGCUUACCAAGGCAACGAUGCAUAGCCGACCUGAGAGGGUGAUCGGCCACACUGGAACUGAGACACGGUCCAGACUCCUACGGGAGGCAGCAGUAGGGAAUCUUCCGCAAUGGGCGAAAGCCUGACGGAGCAACGCCGCGUGAGUGAUGAAGGUCUUCGGAUCGUAAAACUCUGUUAUUAGGGAAGAACAUAUGUGUAAGUAACUGUGCACAUCUUGACGGUACCUAAUCAGAAAGCCACGGCUAACUACGUGCCAGCAGCCGCGGUAAUACGUAGGUGGCAAGCGUUAUCCGGAAUUAUUGGGUGUAAAGCGCGCGUAGGCGGUUUUUUAAGUCUGAUGUGAAAGCCCACGGCUCAACCGUGGAGGGUCAUUGGAAACUGGAAAACUUGAGUGCAGAAGAGGAAAGUGGAAUUCCAUGUGUAGCGGUGAAAUGCGCAGAGAUAUGGAGGAACACCAGUGGCGAAGGCGACUUUCUGGUCUGUAACUGACGCUGAUGUGCGAAAGCGUGGGGAUCAAACAGGAUUAGAUACCCUGGUAGUCCACGCCGUAAACGAUGAGUGCUAAGUGUUAGGGGGUUUCCGCCCCUUAGUGCUGCAGCUAACGCAUUAAGCACUCCGCCUGGGGAGUACGACCGCAAGGUUGAAACUCAAAGGAAUUGACGGGGACCCGCACAAGCGGUGGAGCAUGUGGUUUAAUUCGAAGCAACGCGAAGAACCUUACCAAAUCUUGACAUCCUUUGACAACUCUAGAGAUAGAGCUUUCCCCUUCGGGGGACAAAGUGACAGGUGGUGCAUGGUUGUCGUCAGCUCGUGUCGUGAGAUGUUGGGUUAAGUCCCGCAACGAGCGCAACCCUUAAGCUUAGUUGCCAUCAUUAAGUUGGGCACUCUAAGUUGACUGCCGGUGACAAACCGGAGGAAGGUGGGGAUGACGUCAAAUCAUCAUGCCCCUUAUGAUUUGGGCUACACACGUGCUACAAUGGACAAUACAAAGGGCAGCGAAACCGUGAGGUCAAGCAAAUCCCAUAAAGUUGUUCUCAGUUCGGAUUGUAGUCUGCAACUCGACUACAUGAAGCUGGAAUCGCUAGUAAUCGUAGAUCAGCAUGCUACGGUGAAUACGUUCCCGGGUCU
This 1372-nucleotide ribosomal RNA is filed under the name uncultured bacterium. Its description in RNAcentral is "bacterial SSU rRNA". It matches the Rfam family "Bacterial small subunit ribosomal RNA", at positions 28 to 1381 of the family's 1533-position model. The record is from RNAcentral.